GUGGGGAAUAUUGGACAAUGGGCGAAAGCCUGAUCCAGCCAUGCCGCGUGUGUGAAGAAGGUCUUCGGAUUGUAAAGCACUUUAAGUUGGGAGGAAGGGCAGUAAGUUAAUACCUUGCUGUUUUGACGUUACCGACAGAAUAAGCACCGGCUAACUUCGUGCCAGCAGCCGCGGUAAUACGAAGGGUGCAAGCGUUUAUCGGAAUUACUGGGCGUAAAGCGCGCGUAGGUGGUUUUGUAAGUUGGAGGUGAAAUCCCCGGGCUCAACCUGGGAACUGCCUCCAAAACUGCAUGACUAGAGUACGGUAGAGGGUAGUGGAAUUUCCUGUGUAGCGGUGAAAUGCGUAGAUAUAGGAAGGAACACCAGUGGCGAAGGCGACUACCUGGACUGAUACUGACACUGAGGUGCGAAAGCGUGGGGAGCAAACAGGAUUAGAAACCCUGGUAGUCC
RNAcentral lists this ribosomal RNA (450 nucleotides) under uncultured bacterium. RNAcentral describes it as "partial 16S ribosomal RNA". It matches the Rfam family "Bacterial small subunit ribosomal RNA", at positions 354 to 796 of the family's 1533-position model. The record is from RNAcentral.